AUACGGAGGGUGCGAGCGUUAAUCGGAAUUACUGGGCGUAAAGCGUACGUAGGCGGUUGGUUAAGUUAGAUGUGAAAGCCCCGGGCUUAACCUGGGAACUGCAUUUAAAACUGGCGAACUAGAGUUUAGUAGAGGGGAGUGGAAUUUCAGGUGUAGCGGUGAAAUGCGUAGAGAUCUGAAGGAACACCAGUGGCGAAGGCGACUCCCUGGACUAGAACUGACGCUGAGGUACGAAAGCGUGGGUAGCAAACAGGAUUAGAUACCCCGGUAGUCC
This 274-nucleotide ribosomal RNA is filed under the name uncultured bacterium. Its description in RNAcentral is "partial 16S ribosomal RNA". It matches the Rfam family "Bacterial small subunit ribosomal RNA", at positions 523 to 796 of the family's 1533-position model. The record is from RNAcentral.